AUUGAACGCUGGCGGCAUGCCUUACACAUGCAAGUCGAACGGCAGCACGGGUGCUUGCACCUGGUGGCGAGUGGCGAACGGGUGAGUAAUACAUCGGAACAUGUCCUGUAGUGGGGGAUAGCCCGGCGAAAGCCGGAUUAAUACCGCAUACGAUCCACGGAUGAAAGCGGGGGCCCUUCGGGCCUCGCGCUAUAGGGUUGGCCGAUGGCUGAUUAGCUAGUUGGUGGGGUAAAGGCCUACCAAGGCGACGAUCAGUAGCUGGUCUGAGAGGACGACCAGCCACACUGGGACUGAGACACGGCCCAGACUCCUACGGGAGGCAGCAGUGGGGAAUUUUGGACAAUGGGCGAAAGCCUGAUCCAGCAAUGCCGCGUGUGUGAAGAAGGCCUUCGGGUUGUAAAGCACUUUUGUCCGGAAAGAAAUCCUUGACUCUAAUACAGUCGGGGGAUGACGGUACCGGAAGAAUAAGCACCGGCUAACUACGUG
Molecule: ribosomal RNA, 486 nt
Filed under: uncultured bacterium
Lineage: Bacteria
Description: partial 16S ribosomal RNA
Rfam family: Bacterial small subunit ribosomal RNA
Source: RNAcentral